GGCGAACGGGUGAGUAACACGUGAGCAACCUACCCUUGACUCUGGGAUAACAGUUGGAAACAGCUGCUAAUACCGGAUACGACCUCGAUGGGCAUCCGUUGAGGUGGAAAGCUCCGACGGUCAAGGAUGGGCUCGCGGCCUAUCAGCUUGUUGGUGGGGUAAUGGCCUACCAAGGCGACGACGGGUAGCCGGCCUGAGAGGGCGACCGGCCACACUGGGACUGAGAUACGGCCCAGACUCCUACGGGAGGCAGCAGUGGGGAAUAUUGCGCAAUGGGCGAAAGCCUGACGCAGCAACGCCGCGUGCGGGAUGAAGGCCUUCGGGUUGUAAACCGCUUUCAGCAGGGACGAAGGUUUUCUGACGGUACCUGCAGAAGAAGCACCGGCUAACUACGUGCCAGCAGCCGCGGUGAUACGUAGGGUGCGAGCGUUGUCCGGAAUUAUUGGGCGUAAAGAGCUUGUAGGCGGUCUGUUGCGUCGGAAGUGAAAACUCAGGGCUUAACCCUGAGCCUGCUUUCGAUACGGGCAGACUUGAGGGAUGUAGGGGAGAACGGAAUUCCUGGUGGAGCGGUGGAAUGCGCAGAUAUCAGGAGGAACACCAGUGGCGAAGGCGGUUCUCUGGACAUUUCCUGACGCUGAGAAGCGAAAGCGUGGGGAGCAAACAGGCUUAGAUACCCUGGUAGUCCACGCCGUAAACGGUGGGCACUAGGUGUGGGAUCCUUCCACGGAUUCCGUGCCGUAGCUAACGCAUUAAGUGCCCCGCCUGGGGAGUACGGCCGCAAGGCUAAAACUCAAGGAAUUUGA
RNAcentral lists this ribosomal RNA (803 nucleotides) under uncultured bacterium. RNAcentral describes it as "bacterial SSU rRNA". It matches the Rfam family "Bacterial small subunit ribosomal RNA", at positions 97 to 913 of the family's 1533-position model. The record is from RNAcentral.